AUAACACCAAUGAUAUGCAGAAGAUGACGAGAACCCACCAUUGUUUUUCUCUUUGAGACCGAGCGGCUGUACUUCCAUCCAAAAAGUUUGCGAGAAAAUCUCACGUUUGAGUCUGACGCCUAGUGUAUCUAAUUAAGAUAGAUUUCCUAGUGAAAGGCGGCGUUUCUAUCAAUGACCAUGUGUAUACCGUGACCUUGUGAACAUGGUUCUCACUUCUCAGUCCACAGUCCCUUUGCGAGCCUAGGCAAAGAAUAGGACAGCGAAAGCCAUCAAGAAAAAAACCGCAGCCUACGGAGCUAAACAUGGAAGGGUUUAAUUAAUCUAGCUGUGCCUAUACAUGCUGACUGUAUCAACGUGUUCCUCCCUGUGGCUGGAAAGAGAGAAGAAAGACGUUUAGUGCAUUCAACGGUAGCAGUAGCGGCAGCAUCGUUGUCGGCAUGGCCACCCGAUCGUCGCGAUCAAGCGAACUGUGAAAUCGUGGCCGGGAGGGAUCGAAGCCUUCAAGUCGCACCAAAUAUGUGGAGCGACAAGGCAACAUCGGCCGACAUCAGAGAACGGAUUAAUGAAUCAUCAAACCCACCGCGUAAUACGGUUGGUUCGGAUUGCCGUCGGUGUGAGUGAGUGAGUGACUGUGCCAUCUUGGUCUUCGGUGUCUCUUUCUCUACUCUACUACGUGGUUUCGCUGGCAUGAGCAGUAGAUCAUCGCCGAUCAAAGGUUUGGCAAGAAAUUCGGCCAACACCCAAAAAAAAUUUCCAGCCCUUCCUCGGCGAAAAA
Molecule: long non-coding RNA, 775 nt
Filed under: Hordeum vulgare
Lineage: Eukaryota; Viridiplantae; Streptophyta; Magnoliopsida; Poales; Poaceae
Description: long non-coding RNA (HVUL_LNC001811)
Source: RNAcentral